RNAcentral lists this ribosomal RNA (575 nucleotides) under Pseudomonas sp. LL23. RNAcentral's name for it is "bacterial SSU rRNA". It matches the Rfam family "Bacterial small subunit ribosomal RNA", at positions 56 to 625 of the family's 1533-position model. The record is from RNAcentral. Lineage: Bacteria; Pseudomonadati; Pseudomonadota; Gammaproteobacteria; Pseudomonadales; Pseudomonadaceae.
UGCAGUCGAGCGGCAGCACGGGUACUUGUACCUGGUGGCGAGCGGCGGACGGGUGAGUAAUGCCUAGGAAUCUGCCUGGUAGUGGGGGAUAACGCUCGGAAACGGACGCUAAUACCGCAUACGUCCUACGGGAGAAAGCAGGGGACCUUCGGGCCUUGCGCUAUCAGAUGAGCCUAGGUCGGAUUAGCUAGUUGGUGAGGUAAUGGCUCACCAAGGCGACGAUCCGUAACUGGUCUGAGAGGAUGAUCAGUCACACUGGAACUGAGACACGGUCCAGACUCCUACGGGAGGCAGCAGUGGGGAAUAUUGGACAAUGGGCGAAAGCCUGAUCCAGCCAUGCCGCGUGUGUGAAGAAGGUCUUCGGAUUGUAAAGCACUUUAAGUUGGGAGGAAGGGCAGUUACCUAAUACGUAUCUGUUUUGACGUUACCGACAGAAUAAGCACCGGCUAACUCUGUGCCAGCAGCCGCGGUAAUACAGAGGGUGCAAGCGUUAAUCGGAAUUACUGGGCGUAAAGCGCGCGUAGGUGGUUUGUUAAGUUGAAUGUGAAAUCCCCGGGCUCAACCUGGGAACUGCA